CCUACGGGCGGCAGCAGUGGGGAAUAUUGGACAAUGGGGGAAACCCUGAUCCAGCGACGCCGCGUGAGUGAAGAAGUAUUUCUGUAUGUAAAGCUCUAUCAGCAGGGAAGAAAAUGACGGUACCUGACUAAGACGCCCCGGCUAACUACGUGCCAGCAGCCGCGGUAAUACGGAGGGGGCAAGCGUUAUCCGGAUUUACUGGGUGUAAAGGGAGCGUAGACGGGGCAGCAAGUCUGGUGUGAAAUCCCAGGGCUUAACCACGGAACUGCUUUGGAAACUGUGCCGCUUGAGUGCAGGAGAGGUAAGCGGAAUUCCUAGUGUAGCGGUGAAAUGCGUAGAUAUUAGGAGGAACACCAGUGGCGAAGGCGGCUUACUGGACUGUAACUGACGUUGAGGCUCGAAAGCGUGGGGAGCAAACAGGAUUAGAUACCCGAGUAGUC
This 440-nucleotide ribosomal RNA is filed under the name uncultured bacterium. RNAcentral describes it as "partial 16S ribosomal RNA". It matches the Rfam family "Bacterial small subunit ribosomal RNA", at positions 338 to 795 of the family's 1533-position model. The record is from RNAcentral.